Molecule: long non-coding RNA, 406 nt
Organism: Macrobrachium nipponense
Lineage: Eukaryota; Metazoa; Arthropoda; Malacostraca; Decapoda; Palaemonidae
Exons: 3
Source: RefSeq, a predicted model, not a curated record
UCAUUGUUUUGCAACAUUAGCAAUCUUGACGGACAGUGACGUAAGGGCAAUACUUGAGAACAAAUCCGGGUGUUGAUGGACUGAGCUAUUAUUUGUAUGCUUUUUCUCUCUCUUUCCGUAAUUUGUACGAAAAGAAAUGGAGGCCCCUGUGGAAUCAGACACAGAUGAUAGUAAAGAUGAAUCUUUAUCAUUUAAUGCGGAUGAUUCUGACUUUGAAGUAGACAUCAAUAUUCAUUUUCACUGUGAGCACUGUUUCAAACUUAACAAGUGCCGGGAGCCACCAAAGCCUGGAUGGAGCUGUGAAGUAGUGUGGUGUCCUAAUGACUGCGGUCAGAGUAUUUCAUUAGACGUUUACUAAGGCAGUCGUUCUCAUUUCACUUAAGGUCAUCCUUUUGUGGAAAGAGGU